Long non-coding RNA from Astatotilapia calliptera (eastern happy), 1298 nucleotides. NCBI's taxonomy places the organism in Eukaryota, Metazoa, Chordata, Actinopteri, Cichliformes, Cichlidae. The record is from Ensembl.
GACGACAAAAGCUAACACAUACUGGUUACGCUGCCAGAACCACAUUUAAAAAUAUUUAUAUAUUAAAAUAUGCUUGCUGAAAGUUAUUGGUUUGCUUGCUACCCAAGAGCUUAAUGGCCAAGUGCACUUUUACCACAAUCAGAAUCAGCUUGAUUGGCAAAGUAUGUGGACACACGUAUGGAAUUGGGCUCCGGACAUCUUUGCAAUGGUGCAAAGAAGUUGGAAUAAAUGAUGGAGUCAGUAAAUGAUGGAUAAGAUAUUUUAGAGACAAUGGACAGAUGGCAACAGCCAGGAUAACAAACUUAAGGCUUUUUAUGUGGGAAUCCAAAAUUCAAUGACUGACAUCAGGGUGGUAAUAUGUGACUCUUACAUCAGUGGUCCCCAACCCGGCCACAGACCGGUACCGGUCCAUGAGUCGUUUGGUAACGGGCCACGAGAUUUGAGACUCGGGUGUUAAAUUCAUGGUUUUUAUCGGUUUUUAGCGUUAUUUUUUUUUAAUCGUUUUUAUCGUUAAAUCGGUUACCCUGGGUCUUUUCCCGUGUGUUAUGAAUAAAUCUUCUUUUUUUUUGGUACUGGUGGUGGUUUUAUUUUGUUGUAUUUAUCCGUAACACCUCAAAGGCCGGUCCAUGGAAAUAUUGUCGGACAUAAACCUGUCUAUGGGGGAAAAAGGCUGGGGACCGCUGUUUUAGAUAGAAUCUGUGGCUUGUGUACUACAGCAACAGGCUGUAAAGAAGAAGGAGCACAAAAUCACAGAUCUGCAGAACAUCUCGUUAUGGUGCUCAGUGGAACCAAGUGGAUACUUCAAACUUUUUUAACAGCGUCCUAUAGGCCAGGUCCAACAGCAGCAACAAUCCCAAAGGUAUUUUCUGCCUGGUAUAGGUUACACAGCAAAAGAGUGCUGUGUAACCUAUAUUUAGAUUAGUUUUCAUGUUACCUAAUAAGCUAUAGUUUAGGAUCUAUCUGCACUCUCGCAUAAAAGGAUAAAGUCCACAAUCUUUUUUAAGUGAAUGUCAGCACAAGAGAAAAUGGCAGCAGUCCUCUCAACAACCCUGCAAUUAGUUCAAAUGUGUUCAAUUACUCUGUGUGUAAUGAGUUUUACUUUUUUCCAAAGCCACCUCUGCUUUCUUGUCUACAGUGGAAAAACCAAUAAUGUUCAUCUGUUUCCUACCCCAGCAAUCUAUGCAGUGCUCCACUUUGUCCUGUGGCUCAAAAACGGAACAGUUUGGAUGGUGAAUACAUGUACAUACAUUGUCUGUCAGUUUAGAUUCAGUACAAAUAGCCUGAAAAGUAAAAAAAUA